This 1281-nucleotide ribosomal RNA is filed under the name uncultured bacterium. RNAcentral describes it as "bacterial SSU rRNA". It matches the Rfam family "Bacterial small subunit ribosomal RNA", at positions 85 to 1383 of the family's 1533-position model. The record is from RNAcentral.
UGAUAUUCUAGCGGCGGACGGGUGAGUAACGCGUGAACAAUCUGUCCCAGACAGGGGGAUAACACUUGGAAACAGGUGCUAAUACCGCAUAAGACCACGAUCUCGCAUGGGAUUGAGGUAAAAGGAGCGAUCCGGUUUGGGGUGAGUUCGCGUCCGAUUAGCUAGUUGGUGAGGUAACGGCCCACCAAGGCGACGAUCGGUAGCCGACCUGAGAGGGUGAUCGGCCACAUUGGAACUGAGACACGGUCCAAACUCCUACGGGAGGCAGCAGUGGGGAAUAUUGGGCAAUGGGCGAAAGCCUGACCCAGCAACGCCGCGUGAGGGAAGAAGGUUCUCGGAUUGUAAACCUCUGUCCUUGGUGACGAAGGAAGUGACGGUAGCCAAGGAGGAAGCCCCGGCUAACUACGUGCCAGCAGCCGCGGUAAUACGUAGGGGGCAAGCGUUGUCCGGAAUGACUGGGCGUAAAGGGCGUGUAGGCGGCCUGAUAAGUAUGAAGUGAAAGUCCUGCUUUCAAGGUGGGAAUUGCUUUGUAGACUGUCGGGCUUGAGUGCGGAAGAGGUAAGUGGAAUUCCCAGUGUAGCGGUGAAAUGCGUAGAGAUUGGGAGGAACACCAGUGGCGAAGGCGACUUACUGGGCCGUAACUGACGCUGAGGCGCGAAAGCGUGGGGAGCGAACAGGAUUAGAUACCCUGGUAGUCCACGCUGUAAACGAUGAUGACUAGGUGUGGGGGGACUGACCCCUUCCGUGCCGCAGCUAACGCAAUAAGUCAUCCACCUGGGGAGUACGGCCGCAAGGUUGAAACUCAAAGGAAUUGACGGGGGCCCGCACAAGCAGUGGAUUAUGUGGUUUAAUUCGACGCAACGCGAAGAACCUUACCAGGAUUUGACAUCCAACUAACGAAGUAGAGAUACAUUAGGUGCCCUUCGGGGAAAGUUGAGACAGGUGGUGCAUGGUUGUCGUCAGCUCGUGUCGUGAGAUGUUGGGUUAAGUCCCGCAACGAGCGCAACCCCUAUUGUUAGUUGCUACGCAAGAGCACUCUAGCGAGACUGCCGUUGACAAAACGGAGGAAGGCGGGGACGACGUCAAAUCAUCAUGCCCCUUAUGUCCUGGGCUACACACGUAAUACAAUGGCCGUCAACAAAGGGAAGCAAAGCCGCGAGGUGGAGCAAAUCCCCAAAAACGGUCUCAGUUCGGAUUGCAGGCUGCAACUCGCCUGCAUGAAGCUGGAAUUGCUAGUAAUCGUGGAUCAGCAAGCCACGGUGAAUACGUUCCCGGGCCUUG